This 258-nucleotide ribosomal RNA is filed under the name uncultured bacterium. Its description in RNAcentral is "partial small subunit ribosomal RNA". It matches the Rfam family "Bacterial small subunit ribosomal RNA", at positions 26 to 285 of the family's 1533-position model. The record is from RNAcentral.
AGGACGAACGCUGGCGGCGUGCUUAACACAUGCAAGUCGAGCGGAAAGGCCCUUCGGGGUACUCGAGCGGCGAACGGGUGAGUAACACGUGAGUAACCUGCCCUACGCUCUGGGAUAGCUCCGGGAAACCGGGAUUAAUACCAGAUACGACCACUUUAGACAUCUGUCGUGGGUGGAAAGGAUUCCGGCUAGGGAUGGGCUCGCGGCCUAUCAGCUUGGUUGGUGGGGUAACCGGCCUACCGAAGGCGACGACGGGUA